GCCCAUGUAGCUCAGUGGCAGAGCACUCCCUUGGUAAGGGAGAGGUCACGCGUUCAAUCCGCGUCAUGGGCACCA
RNAcentral lists this transfer RNA (75 nucleotides) under Burkholderiales bacterium. Its description in RNAcentral is "tRNA-Thr". It matches the Rfam family "tRNA". From Rfam's summary of the family: Transfer RNA (tRNA) molecules are approximately 80 nucleotides in length. RNAcentral also lists the same sequence under 6 other names. The record is from RNAcentral. Lineage: Bacteria; Pseudomonadati; Pseudomonadota; Betaproteobacteria; Burkholderiales.